This 521-nucleotide ribosomal RNA is filed under the name uncultured bacterium. RNAcentral describes it as "bacterial SSU rRNA". It matches the Rfam family "Bacterial small subunit ribosomal RNA", at positions 988 to 1509 of the family's 1533-position model. The record is from RNAcentral.
CCAGAGAACUUAGCAGAGAUGCUUUGGUGCCUUCGGGAACUCUGAGACAGGUGCUGCAUGGCUGUCGUCAGCUCGUGUUGUGAAAUGUUGGGUUAAGUCCCGCAACGAGCGCAGCCCUUAUCCUUUGUUGCCAGCGGUUCGGCCGGGAACUCAAAGGAGACUGCCGGUGAUAAACCGGAGGAAGGUGGGGAUGACGUCAAGUCAUCAUGGCCCUUACGGCCAGGGCUACACACGUGCUACAAUGGCGCAUACAAAGAGAAGCGACCUCGCGAGAGCAAGCGGACCUCAUAAAGUGCGUCGUAGUCCGGAUUGGAGUCUGCAACUCGACUCCAUGAAGUCGGAAUCGCUAGUAAUCGUAGAUCAGAAUGCUACGGUGAAUACGUUCCCGGGCCUUGUACACACCGCCCGUCACACCAUGGGAGUGGGUUGCAAAAGAAGUAGGUAGCUUAACCUUCGGGAGGGCGCUUACCACUUUGUGAUUCAUGACUGGGGUGAAGUCGUAACAAGGUAGGCGUAGCGAG